Non-coding RNA from Arachis ipaensis, 148 nucleotides. Lineage: Eukaryota; Viridiplantae; Streptophyta; Magnoliopsida; Fabales; Fabaceae. The record is from RefSeq and is a predicted model, not a curated record.
CUGUUUGAGCGUCGGUGCUGACGCGUGUUCGAGCAACCGUUCAGCCCUCUAUUCAACCAUCUUCAUUGAGUUUUAAAGCUGAUAGGAAACGCCUUUUCAAUAUGAUUAAUGAAGUGCCCACAAUAUUUGAAGUUGUUACUGGUGCAGC